CGCAGGCGGGCGGGAGGGCAGGCACGGAGAGGCGGGCGCCGAGGAGGGGCAGGUAGGGCUGGGACGCAGGGGUAACUGGAUCCCCCGACUUCAGCCCAGGCCCUGGUCUGACCACCCUGGGAGCAGGGACUUUCCACAGUCAGCUGGACGCACACUCAGCCCAGUAAAAGAGGGGACCCAUCCCGGGAGCCCCGGGGAGGGCACAGCUGCCUCCUCCCGGGCUCCCCUGCCACCUGGUGCCUACCUGCCCCCUGCUCCCUGCCGGGUCCGGUCCUCACCUCAUCUUCAUCUGGCCUUGACUCUGCCCUUGAGGGGCCUAGGGGUGCAGCCGGCCUGCUCCGAGCUCCCCUGCAGAUGGAGGAGGCCAUCCUGGUCCCCUGCAUGCUGGGGCUCCUGCUGCUGCCCAUCCUGGCCAUGUUGAUGGCACUGUGUGUGCACUGCCACAGACUGCCAGGCUCCUACGACAGCACAUCCUCAGAUAGUUUGUAUCCAAGGGGCAUCCAGUUCAAACGGCCUCACACGGUUGCCCCCUGGCCACCUGCCUACCCGCCUGUCACCUCCUACCCACCCCUGAGCCAGCCAGACCUGCUCCCCAUCCCGUGAGUAGCUGCUCAG
Molecule: small RNA, 615 nt
Filed under: Pan troglodytes (chimpanzee)
Lineage: Eukaryota; Metazoa; Chordata; Mammalia; Primates; Hominidae
Description: retained intron
Source: RNAcentral